AAAUGUGGCCAAACCUACUUGUCAAAGCCUGAUCUCAUCAAAUCUCAGAAACUAAUCAGGGCUAUGCCUGAUAAGUACUUGGAUAGAAGACAGCUGGGAAUAUCGGGUGCCACAAUGG
This 118-nucleotide ribosomal RNA is filed under the name Periophthalmus magnuspinnatus. The record is from RNAcentral. Lineage: Eukaryota; Metazoa; Chordata; Actinopteri; Gobiiformes; Gobiidae.